AUGGGGAUAACGACUGGAAACGGUCGCUAAUACCCGAUGUGCCGAGAGGUGAAAGAUUAUAUCGCCUGAAGAUGAGCUCGCGUCCGAUUAGCUAGUUGGUGGAGUAAUGGUUCACCAAGGCGACGAUCGGUAGCUGGUCUGAGAGGAUGACCAGUCACACUGGGACUGAGACACGGCCCAGACUCCUACGGGAGGCAGCAGUGGGGAAUUUUCCGCAAUGGGCGCAAGCCUGACGGAGCAAGACCGCGUGGGGGAAGAAGGUUUGUGGAUUGUAAACCCCUUUUAUCAGGGAAGAAGCUCUGACGGUACCUGAUGAAUCAGCCUCGGCUAACUCCGUGCCAGCAGCCGCGGUAAUACGGAGGAGGCAAGCGUUAUCCGGAAUUAUUGGGCGUAAAGCGUCCGUAGGUGGCUAUACGUGUCAGUUGUUAAAGAAUGGGGCUUAACUCCAUAUGGGCGAUUGAAACUGUAUAGCUAGAGAGUGGUAGGGGCAAGGGGAAUUCCCAGUGUAGCGGUGAAAUGCGUAGAUAUUGGGAAGAACACCGGUGGCGAAAGCGCCUUGCUGGGCCAUUACUGACACUGAGGGACGAAAGCUAGGGGAGCGAAUGGGAUUAGAUACCCCAGUAGUCA
Molecule: ribosomal RNA, 627 nt
Filed under: Oscillatoriales cyanobacterium PK40
Lineage: Bacteria; Bacillati; Cyanobacteriota; Cyanophyceae; Oscillatoriales
Description: bacterial SSU rRNA
Rfam family: Bacterial small subunit ribosomal RNA
Source: RNAcentral